RNAcentral lists this ribosomal RNA (425 nucleotides) under uncultured bacterium. Its description in RNAcentral is "partial 16S ribosomal RNA". It matches the Rfam family "Bacterial small subunit ribosomal RNA", at positions 354 to 796 of the family's 1533-position model. The record is from RNAcentral.
GUGGGGAAUAUUGGGCAAUGGGGGAAACCCUGAUCUAGCCAUGCCGCGUGAGCGAUGAAGGCCUUAGGGUUGUAAAGCUCUUUCAGCUGGGAAGAUAAUGACGGUACCAGCAGAAGAAGCCCCGGCUAACUCCGUGCCAGCAGCCGCGGUAAUACGGAGGGGGCUAGCGUUGUUCGGAAUUACUGGGCGUAAAGCGCGCGUAGGCGGACCAGAAAGUUGGAGGUGAAAUCCCAGGGCUCAACCUUGGAACUGCCUUCAAAACUCCUGGUCUGGAGUUCGAGAGAGGUGAGUGGAAUUCCGAGUGUAGAGGUGAAAUUCGUAGAUAUUCGGAGGAACACCAGUGGCGAAGGCGGCUCACUGGCUCGAUACUGACGCUGAGGUGCGAAAGCGUGGGGAGCAAACAGGAUUAGAUACCCGGGUAGUCC